UGUUUAUCUCGCUGCAGUUCUCGAAUACCUCGCCGCUGAGGUAUUUUAUUUUCUAGAUCUCUUUAGAAUUUUCCCUCCAUAUUUGUUUGCGUACAAGCAUCAUUAUCUAGGGUUGAUUAAUUUGUUUUCAAUUUCAUUUAUUUGUACGGAAUUUACCCGCUGCCUCUUAAAUUUCUGAAUUUUUUUUAAUAAGUCUAAUUUGAUUUUGGUGUAUGAUGUUGGGAUUUCUUAUUGUGAAUUGUUGAAUUUCAAUUUUUUUUUUGUUAGUAUGAUUUCCAUAUUCAAGCUGUUUUAUGCCUCCUUUUCCCUAUUUCUCAAAAUUAGGGCUUGCAUCGUUGUGUUAGGUUUUUAUUUUAUUUUUGUGUUUACUUCCUUAAAGCUGUGAUUUAGAAGUUUUGGAAUUUCUUUUUGGUGAUCUUAGAUCGGGAUUUUGAUUUUAUUAACUGUGAAUUUCUAAUUUUAUUUAUUUAUUCACUCUUUGAAAUUUAGGUUAUUAGAUGGUAUUUCGUGUAAUUAUUAUAUUCUGACAACUUAGGUUUAUGUGUUUGUGUUUGAUGGGUUAUUCUUUCAUUGUGUCCUCUUA
Molecule: unclassified non-coding RNA, 583 nt
Filed under: Hevea brasiliensis (rubber tree)
Lineage: Eukaryota; Viridiplantae; Streptophyta; Magnoliopsida; Malpighiales; Euphorbiaceae
Source: RNAcentral